GGUAGAGAGUUGCUUAGCUUAUUACUCUAUUUGAUGCCUGAUGGAUUGAGGCUCACUACUAACAUAGGUUCCUUCAUGUUCCAAGCUACAGCCAGAAAAAAGUGAACAGUCUCUUGGUCUCACCUUAUAAGAAGUUUUCUCCAUCCACUAGCUCACCCACAUCAUAUUUCAGAUUCCUAAGGAUUGUGGAGUUGGCUGGGAAUAGAACACAGGAGGAAUGAGUACUUAGAAUUAUAUUUACAAUGGCAAUGUGCAAAAAGGAAUUGCAAGUAGUGCUUGAUCAUAUUGAGGAAUGAAAAAGAAAAUAGAAGAUACUGAAUAAAAAUGAAAUGUCUCAGGUGAAGCCAUGGAAAACAGCAAGUGGAAAGACUAUUGCACUUUUAGAAUCAGGAGUUGAAUCUAUUUUUUUUUUAUUUUGCCAUACAAUAGCCAUGAACUCAGCUAAAACAUUUGAACACUCAAUAUAAUUUUUUCACCUACAAAAUUAUGAGUGCCAUUGGUAACAUUGACCUCACAUCAAAACAAGUGUAGCAAAUAAGGAAAUAGAGAGGAUCUUUUUCUUGUUCAUUAAAAUAUUUCCUUUUAUUAAAAACUGAACAUGUCAGUAUUAAUAUUUCUGCAUUGAUGAAUAGAAAAGAUAAUUCUACAUGUAAAUAUGCAUAUUAUAUGAGAAGUCUUAUGGAGUAGUCAAUAUAGACCUGGCCUUGAGAUAAAAUAAAUGUAGGUUCAAGUCCUUUCUCUAACA
This 745-nucleotide long non-coding RNA is filed under the name Monodelphis domestica (gray short-tailed opossum). RNAcentral's name for it is "lncRNA (ENSMODG00000046511.1)". The record is from RNAcentral. Lineage: Eukaryota; Metazoa; Chordata; Mammalia; Didelphimorphia; Didelphidae.